This 250-nucleotide ribosomal RNA is filed under the name uncultured bacterium. Its description in RNAcentral is "partial 16S ribosomal RNA". It matches the Rfam family "Bacterial small subunit ribosomal RNA", at positions 355 to 602 of the family's 1533-position model. The record is from RNAcentral.
UAGGGAAUAUUGGGCAAUGCUCGCAAGAGUGACCCAGCCAUGCCGCGUGAAGGAUUAAGGCCCUCUGGGUUGUAAACUUCUUUUCUCAGGGGCGAAAAACCGGGAUUCAUCCCGGCCUGACGGUACCUGAGGAAUAAGCACCGGCUAACUCCGUGCCAGCAGCCGCGGUAAUACGGAGGGUGCAAGCGUUAUCCGGAAUCACUGGGUUUAAAGGGUACGUAGGCGGUUCUAUAAGUCAGUAGUGAAAGAC